Molecule: ribosomal RNA, 313 nt
Filed under: uncultured bacterium
Lineage: Bacteria
Description: bacterial SSU rRNA
Rfam family: Bacterial small subunit ribosomal RNA
Source: RNAcentral
GAUGAACGCUAGCGGCAGGCUUAACACAUGCAAGUCGAACGGUAACAGGAAUUAGCUUGCUAAUUUGCUGACGAGUGGCGCACGGGUGCGUAACGCGUAUACAAUCUACCUUUUACAGGGGGAUAGCCUUUAGAAAUGAAGAUUAAUACCCCAUAGUAUAUAUAGAUGGCAUCGUUUAUAUAUUAAAGAUUUAUUGGUAAAAGAUGAGUAUGCGUUCUAUUAGCUAGAUGGUGUGGUAACGGCACACCAUGGCAACGAUAGAUAGGGGCCCUGAGAGGGGGAUCCCCCACACUGGUACUGAGACACGGACCAG